Molecule: ribosomal RNA, 253 nt
Filed under: uncultured bacterium
Lineage: Bacteria
Description: partial 16S ribosomal RNA
Rfam family: Bacterial small subunit ribosomal RNA
Source: RNAcentral
UACGGAGGGGGCUAGCGUUGUUCGGAUUUACUGGGCGUAAAGCGCGUGUAGGCGGGGUGUUAAGUUGGGGGUGAAAUCCCGGAGCUCAACUCCGGAACUGCAUCCAAUACUGGCGACCUGGAGCAGAGGAGAGGCGAGUGGAAUUCCGAGUGUAGAGGUGAAAUUCGUAGAUAUUCGGAGGAACACCAGUGGCGAAGGCGACUCGCUGGACUCUUGCUGACGCUGAGACGCGAAAGCGUGGGGAGCAAACAGG